UGGUAAUGAUUAGAUCUUAUCCAAGAUUCUGUGCGUAAUCGGUGAAGUAAAUAAAUGAAAAUGGUUGAAUUUCUUGAUAUGAGCGG
Macadamia integrifolia is the source of this 86-nucleotide small nucleolar RNA. Lineage: Eukaryota; Viridiplantae; Streptophyta; Magnoliopsida; Proteales; Proteaceae. The record is from RefSeq and is a predicted model, not a curated record.